GACGAACGCUGGCGGCGUGCUUAACACAUGCAAGUCGAACGGAAAGGCCCUGCUUUUGUGGGUGGCUCGAGUGGCGAACGGGUUAGUAACACGUGAGUAACCUGCCCUUGACUUUGGGAUAACUUCAGGAAACUGGGGCUAAUACCGGAUAGGAGCUCCUGCUGCAUGGUGGGGGUUGGAAAGUUUCGGCGGUUGGGGAUGGACUCGCGGCUUAUCAGCUUGUUGGUGGGGUAGUGGCUUACCAAGGCUUUGACGGGUAGCCGGCCUGAGAGGGUGACCGGACACAUUGGGAAUGAGAAACGGCCCAGACUACUACGGGAGGCAGAAGUGGGGAAUAAUGCAAAAUGGGCGGAAGACUGAUGCAGCAACGCCGCGUGAGGGAUGAAGGCCUUCGGGUUGUAAACCGAUUUCGCCUGUGACGAAGAGUGAGUGACGGUAAUGGGUAAAGAAGCACCGGAUAACUACGUG
RNAcentral lists this ribosomal RNA (468 nucleotides) under uncultured bacterium. Its description in RNAcentral is "partial 16S ribosomal RNA". It matches the Rfam family "Bacterial small subunit ribosomal RNA", at positions 28 to 507 of the family's 1533-position model. The record is from RNAcentral.